Molecule: small nuclear RNA, 104 nt
Organism: Cercocebus atys (sooty mangabey)
Lineage: Eukaryota; Metazoa; Chordata; Mammalia; Primates; Cercopithecidae
Source: Ensembl
GUGCUCGCUUCAGCAGCACAUAUACUAAAACUGGAAUGAUACAAAGAUUAGCACCGCCCCUGCACAAAGAUGAUACACAAAUUCGUGAAGCGUUCCAUAUUUUU